This is a long non-coding RNA of Ruditapes philippinarum (Manila clam), 191 nucleotides long. RefSeq lists it as uncharacterized. The transcript is spliced from 3 exons. Lineage: Eukaryota; Metazoa; Mollusca; Bivalvia; Venerida; Veneridae. The record is from RefSeq and is a predicted model, not a curated record.
AGUCCUGAUACCGGAAGUUGUCUAAAGCGUGCAGACGGAAUGCAUUAGAAAUAAUUUAGAUCGAAACCUGUCAUUGAUGGUAAUACAGAUCUGUGAUAAUUAAUGGAAAACCAAGAGAUUAGUAUUUUCUUUAUGUGUUGUCUAAGCUAAGAUGGUUGCUGUGAUGAAAAGUUUGUUUGUGGUAAGUGUUU